RNAcentral lists this long non-coding RNA (321 nucleotides) under Struthio camelus australis. Its description in RNAcentral is "lncRNA (ENSSCUG00000009154.1)". The record is from RNAcentral. Lineage: Eukaryota; Metazoa; Chordata; Aves; Struthioniformes; Struthionidae.
AGGAAAAUGGAACAAACGUAUCAAGAUAAAGGGGAACAACAUAAAAAAUUUAAACAAACUCACCACUGAGCUCACAAAACCACUUUUUGCAUUCCCUGGAACCUGAGUGCCUGACUGAAAAGAAAGUGUUGUCCUGCAUAUGGAAGUUCAUCAGGAAACAGACAUUGUGCUAGAUGGCGUCAUAUAGAAUUUUGGCACUGCAAUCAGAAAAAUGACAAGGAUCAACCCUUUCUGCUCCUGCUAAAAAGUAAUUAAAUGACACCAACUGGAACCUCCCCCAGGAGCCUGGGAAAAUAUAUCAUCUGAGCACUCCAGAAUGAG